RNAcentral lists this ribosomal RNA (253 nucleotides) under uncultured bacterium. Its description in RNAcentral is "partial 16S ribosomal RNA". It matches the Rfam family "Bacterial small subunit ribosomal RNA", at positions 524 to 776 of the family's 1533-position model. The record is from RNAcentral.
UACGUAGGGGGCUAGCGUUGUCCGGAAUCAUUGGGCGUAAAGAGCGUGUAGGCGGUCCGGUAAGUCCGCUGUGAAAGUCGGGGGCUCAACCCUCGAAUGCCGGUGGAUACUGUCGGGCUAGAGUGCGGAAGAGGCGAGUGGAAUUCCUGGUGUAGCGGUGAAAUGCGUAGAGAUCGGGAAGAACAUCGGUGGCGAAAGCGCUCUGCUGGACUGCAACUGACACUCAGGGACGAAAGCUAGGGGAGCGAAUGGG